Molecule: ribosomal RNA, 508 nt
Filed under: uncultured bacterium
Lineage: Bacteria
Description: partial 16S ribosomal RNA
Rfam family: Bacterial small subunit ribosomal RNA
Source: RNAcentral
AUUGAACGCUGGCGGCAUGCCUUACACAUGCAAGUCGAACGGCAGCGGGGGAGAAGCUUGCUUUUCCUGCCGGCGAGUGGCGAACGGGUGAGUAAUACAUCGGAACGUGCCCUGUAGUGGGGGAUAACUAGUCGAAAGAUUAGCUAAUACCGCAUACGACCUGAGGGUGAAAGUGGGGGACCGCAAGGCCUCAUGCUAUAGGAGCGGCCGAUGUCUGAUUAGCUAGUUGGUGGGGUAAAGGCCUACCAAGGCGACGAUCAGUAGCUGGUCUGAGAGGACGAUCAGCCACACUGGGACUGAGACACGGCCCAGACUCCUACGGGAGUCAGCAGUGGGGAAUUUUGGACAAUGGGCGCAAGCCUGAUCCAGCCAUGCCGCGUGCGGGAAGAAGGCCUUCGGGUUGUAAACCGCUUUUGUCAGGGAAGAAAAGCCUUGGGUUAAUACCCUGGGGUGAUGACGGUACCUGAAGAAUAAGCACCGGCUAACUACGUGCCAGCCGCCGCGGUAA